GGUGAACGCUGGCGGUAGGCCUAACACAUGCAAGUCGAACGGCAACACAGUAAGAUCUUGCUCUUACGGGUGGCGGGUGGCGGACGGGUGAGGAAUGCGUCGUAAUCUACUUUUUCGGGGAGGAUAACGUAAGGAAACUUACGCUAAUACCGCAUACGACUUACGAUUGAAAGCAGGAGAGAUUCUUACCUUUCGAGUUUGAAUGAGCCGUUGCAGGUUUAGCUAGUUGGCGGGGUAAAGGACGACCCAGGCGAGUAUCCGUAGCUAGUCGGAGAGGGGGAGCAGCCAUAAGGGAACUGAGAGCCGGUCUAGACUCCUACGGGAGGCCGCAGUGGGGAAUAUUGGACAAUGGGCGCAAGUCUGAUCAAGACAUACAGCGUGGUUGAAGAAGGCCUUGGGGUUGUAAAGCCCUUUUGUUGGGAAAGAAAAGCAGCAGAUUAAUACACCGCUGUUGUGACGGUACCCAAAGAAUAAGCACCGGCUAACUUCGUG
This 492-nucleotide ribosomal RNA is filed under the name uncultured bacterium. Its description in RNAcentral is "partial 16S ribosomal RNA". It matches the Rfam family "Bacterial small subunit ribosomal RNA", at positions 28 to 507 of the family's 1533-position model. The record is from RNAcentral.